GAGCCAGUAGCUCAGUCGGUAGAGCAUCGGACUUUUAAUCCGGUGGCCGAGGGUUCGAGUCCCUCCUGGCUCAC
This 74-nucleotide transfer RNA is filed under the name Deltaproteobacteria bacterium ADurb.BinA179. RNAcentral's name for it is "tRNA-Lys". It matches the Rfam family "tRNA". From Rfam's summary of the family: Transfer RNA (tRNA) molecules are approximately 80 nucleotides in length. Their secondary structure includes four short double-helical elements and three loops (D, anti-codon, and T loops). Further hydrogen bonds mediate the characteristic L-shaped molecular structure. tRNAs have two regions of fundamental functional importance: the anti-codon, which is responsible for specific mRNA codon recognition, and the 3' end, to which the tRNAs corresponding amino acid is attached (by aminoacyl-tRNA synthetases). tRNAs cope with the degeneracy of the genetic code in two manners: having more than one tRNA (with a specific anti-codon) for a particular amino acid; and 'wobble' base-pairing, i.e. permitting non-standard base-pairing at the 3rd anti-codon position. Lineage: Bacteria; Deltaproteobacteria. The record is from RNAcentral.